UACAGAGGUCCCGAGCGUUGUUCGGAUUCACUGGGCGUAAAGGGUGCGUAGGUGGUGGGGUAAGUCUCGUGUGAAAGCUCGCAGCUUAACUGCGAAAAGUCACGGGAUACUAUUCUGCUGGAGGCUUGGAGGGGGGACUGGAAUACUUGGUGUAGCAGUGAAAUGCGUAGAUAUCAUGAAGAACACCGGUAGCGAAGGCGGUUAUCUGGCUCGAAACUGACGCUCAGGGACGAAAGCGUGGGUAGCAAACAGG
This 253-nucleotide ribosomal RNA is filed under the name uncultured prokaryote. RNAcentral's name for it is "partial 16S ribosomal RNA". It matches the Rfam family "Bacterial small subunit ribosomal RNA", at positions 524 to 776 of the family's 1533-position model. The record is from RNAcentral.